Molecule: ribosomal RNA, 693 nt
Filed under: Escherichia coli
Lineage: Bacteria; Pseudomonadati; Pseudomonadota; Gammaproteobacteria; Enterobacterales; Enterobacteriaceae
Description: partial 23S ribosomal RNA
Rfam family: Bacterial large subunit ribosomal RNA
Source: RNAcentral
AGGUGGGAGGCUUAGAAGUGUGGACGCCAGUCUGCAUGGAGCCGACCUUGAAAUACCACCCUUUAAUGUUUGAUGUUCUAACGUUGACCCGUAAUCCGGGUUGCGGACAGUGUCUGGUGGGUAGUUUGACUGGGGCGGUCUCCUCCUAAAGAGUAACGGAGGAGCACGAAGGUUGGCUAAUCCUGGUCGGACAUCAGGAGGUUAGUGCAAUGGCAUAAGCCAGCUUGACUGCGAGCGUGACGGCGCGAGCAGGUGCGAAAGCAGGUCAUAGUGAUCCGGUGGUUCUGAAUGGAAGGGCCAUCGCUCAACGGAUAAAAGGUACUCCGGGGAUAACAGGCUGAUACCGCCCAAGAGUUCAUAUCGACGGCGGUGUUUGGCACCUCGAUGUCGGCUCAUCACAUCCUGGGGCUGAAGUAGGUCCCAAGGGUAUGGCUGUUCGCCAUUUAAAGUGGUACGCGAGCUGGGUUUAGAACGUCGUGAGACAGUUCGGUCCCUAUCUGCCGUGGGCGCUGGAGAACUGAGGGGGGCUGCUCCUAGUACGAGAGGACCGGAGUGGACGCAUCACUGGUGUUCGGGUUGUCAUGCCAAUGGCACUGCCCGGUAGCUAAAUGCGGAAGAGAUAAGUGCUGAAAGCAUCUAAGCACGAAACUUGCCCCGAGAUGAGUUCUCCCUGACUCCUUGAGAGUCCUGAAG